CCUACGGGUGGCAGCAGUGAGGAAUAUUGGUCAAUGGGCGGGAGCCUGAACCAGCCAAGUCGCGUGAGGGAAGAAGGUACUGAGUAUUGUAAACCUCUUUUGCCAGGGGACAAAGGCGGCCACGGGUGGCCGUAAGAGGGUACCUGGAGAAAAAGCAUCGGCUAACUCCGUGCCAGCAGCCGCGGUAAUACGGAGGAUGCGAGCGUUAUCCGGAUUUAUUGGGUUUAAAGGGUGCGCAGGCGGCGUGUCAAGUCAGCGGUAAAAUGUCGGGGCUCAACCCCGGCCGGCCGUUGAAACUGCCUUGCUGGAAUGCGGAUGCCGUGGGAGGAAUGUGUGGUGUAGCGGUGAAAUGCAUAGAUAUCACACAGAACACCGAUUGCGAAGGCAUCUCACGAAUCCGCGAUUGACGCUGAUGCACGAAAGCGUGGGUAUCAAACAGGAUUAGAUACCCCUGUAGUC
RNAcentral lists this ribosomal RNA (459 nucleotides) under uncultured bacterium. RNAcentral's name for it is "partial 16S ribosomal RNA". It matches the Rfam family "Bacterial small subunit ribosomal RNA", at positions 338 to 795 of the family's 1533-position model. The record is from RNAcentral.